This 208-nucleotide ribosomal RNA is filed under the name uncultured bacterium. RNAcentral describes it as "partial 16S ribosomal RNA". It matches the Rfam family "Bacterial small subunit ribosomal RNA", at positions 568 to 774 of the family's 1533-position model. The record is from RNAcentral.
CUCGUAGGCGGUUCGUCGCGUCCGGUGUGAAAGUCCAUCGCUUAACGGUGGAUCCGCGCCGGGUACGGGCGGGCUUGAGUGCGGUAGGGGAGACUGGAAUUCCCGGUGUAACGGUGGAAUGUGUAGAUAUCGGGAAAGAACACCAAUGGCGAAGGCAGGUCUCUGGGCCGUCACUGACGCUGAGGAGCGAAAGCGUGGGGAGCGAACA